CGGGAAGUGGCUCAGUCUGGUAGAGCACAGCGUUCGGGACGCUGGGGUCCGGGGUUCAAAUCCCCGCUUCCCGACCA
Molecule: transfer RNA, 77 nt
Filed under: Deltaproteobacteria bacterium
Lineage: Bacteria; Pseudomonadati; Myxococcota; Myxococcia
Also listed under: 1 other name
Description: tRNA-Pro
Rfam family: tRNA
About the family: Transfer RNA (tRNA) molecules are approximately 80 nucleotides in length.
Source: RNAcentral